UAAUACGGAGGGGGCUAGCGUUGUUCGGAAUUACUGGGCGUAAAGCGCGCGUAGGCGGCCUGCCAAGUUGGGGGUGAAAGCCCGGGGCUCAACCCCGGAACUGCCCUCAACACUGGCAAGCUAGAGACCGGGAGAGGUGAGUGGAAUUCCCAGUGUAGAGGUGAAAUUCGUAGAUAUUGAGAAGAACACCAGCGGCGAAGGCGGCUCACUGGACCGGUACUGACGCUGAGGUGCGAAAGCGUGGGGAGCGAACAGGAUUAGAUACCCUGGUAGUCCACGCCGUAAACGAUGAGUGCUAGACGUCGGGGGGCUUGCCCUUCGGUGUCGGAGCUAACGCAUUAAGCACUCCGCCUGGGGAGUACGGCCGCAAGGUUA
This 375-nucleotide ribosomal RNA is filed under the name uncultured Alphaproteobacteria bacterium. Its description in RNAcentral is "bacterial SSU rRNA". It matches the Rfam family "Bacterial small subunit ribosomal RNA", at positions 521 to 896 of the family's 1533-position model. Lineage: Bacteria; Pseudomonadati; Pseudomonadota; Alphaproteobacteria. The record is from RNAcentral.